UACGGAGGGAGCUAGCGUUGUUCGGAAUUACUGGGCGUAAAGCGCGCGUAGGCGGCUUUGUAAGUUAGAGGCGAAAGCCCGGGGCUCAACCCCGGAACUGCCUUUAAGACUGCAUCGCUUGAAUCCGGGAGAGGUGAGUGGAAUUCCGAGUGUAGAGGUGAAAUUCGUAGAUAUUCGGAAGAACACCAGUGGCGAAGGCGGCUCACUGGACCGGCAUUGACGCUGAGGUGCGAAAGCGUGGGGAGCAAACAGG
RNAcentral lists this ribosomal RNA (253 nucleotides) under uncultured bacterium. Its description in RNAcentral is "partial 16S ribosomal RNA". It matches the Rfam family "Bacterial small subunit ribosomal RNA", at positions 524 to 776 of the family's 1533-position model. The record is from RNAcentral.